Molecule: ribosomal RNA, 253 nt
Filed under: uncultured bacterium
Lineage: Bacteria
Description: partial 16S ribosomal RNA
Rfam family: Bacterial small subunit ribosomal RNA
Source: RNAcentral
UACAGAGGGUGCAAGCGUUAAUCGGAAUUACUGGGCGUAAAGGGCGCGUAGGCGGCCUUCUAAGUCGAACGUGAAAUCCCUGGGCUCAACCCAGGAACUGCGUCCGAUACUGGAAGGCUUGAAUCCGGGAGAGGGAUGCGGAAUUCCAGGUGUAGCGGUGAAAUGCGUAGAUAUCUGGAGGAACACCGGUGGCGAAGGCGGCAUCCUGGACCGGCAUUGACGCUGAGGCGCGAAAGCUAGGGGAGCAAACGGG